Molecule: transfer RNA, 72 nt
Filed under: Thermoprotei archaeon
Lineage: Archaea; Thermoproteati; Thermoproteota; Thermoprotei
Description: tRNA-Phe
Rfam family: tRNA
About the family: Transfer RNA (tRNA) molecules are approximately 80 nucleotides in length. Their secondary structure includes four short double-helical elements and three loops (D, anti-codon, and T loops).
Source: RNAcentral
GCCCCGGUAGCUCAGCGGGAGAGCGUCCGGCUGAAGACCGGAAGGUCGGGGGUUCAAAUCCCCCCCGGGGCA